Molecule: ribosomal RNA, 504 nt
Filed under: uncultured bacterium
Lineage: Bacteria
Description: bacterial SSU rRNA
Rfam family: Bacterial small subunit ribosomal RNA
Source: RNAcentral
ACGAACGCUGGCGGCGUGCCUAACACAUGCAAGUCGAGCGAGAAAGUCCCUUCGGGGCGAGUAAAGCGGCGGACGGGUGAGUAAUACAUGGAUAAUCUUCCCUCGAGCCUGGGAUAACCCUGCGAAAGUGGGGCUAAUACCGGAUAAGACCACAUGACACAUGUCACGGGGUAGAAGGUGGCUUGUAUUUAUAUGAGCUAUCACUUGAGGAUGAGUCCAUGGCCUAUCAGCUAGUUGGUGAGGUAAGAGCUUACCAAGGCUAUGACGGGUAGCUGGUCUGAGAGGACGACUAGCCACACUGGGACUGAGACACGGCCCAGACUCCUACGGGAGGCAGCAGUGGGGAAUAUUGGGCAAUGGGCGAAAGCCUGACCCAGCGACGCCGCGUGGGUGAUGAAGGCCUUCGGGUUGUAAAACCCUUUUCGUGCGGAAAAGAAUUAGUCCUGUAGCGAAUAACUACGGGAUUUGACGGUACCGCAGGAAGAAGCACCGGCUAACUCCGUG